This 361-nucleotide unclassified non-coding RNA is filed under the name Hevea brasiliensis (rubber tree). The record is from RNAcentral. Lineage: Eukaryota; Viridiplantae; Streptophyta; Magnoliopsida; Malpighiales; Euphorbiaceae.
CUUGUUGGAGUGCCCAAAACCUUGAUAAUCUCAACAAGCUGGUCAACUCCACUUUCACCAGGAAAUAGAGGCUGUCCAAGAAGUAGUUCAGCAAGAACACAGCCAGCAGACCAGAUGUCAAUAGCUGUUGUGUACUCUGUUGCCCCGAAUAUUAGCUCUGGUGCUCUAUAAUAUCUAGAACAUAUAUAAGAUAUAUUUGGCUCCCCUUUUACCAAGACUUUUGCACUUCCAAAAUCACACAAUUUAACCUGGUGUGUAUGAGGAUUAACCAAAAGGUUUUGAGGUUUGAUGUCCCGAUGACACACUCCAAUUGCACGAUGGAUGUAUGACAAUGCCCUGAAGAUCUGGUAUGCAUAAAGUU